RNAcentral lists this unclassified non-coding RNA (309 nucleotides) under Linochilus rupestris. RNAcentral describes it as "partial contains external transcribed spacer and 18S ribosomal RNA". The stretch from base 263 to 309 matches the Rfam family "Eukaryotic small subunit ribosomal RNA", at positions 1 to 47 of the family's 1831-position model. The record is from RNAcentral. Lineage: Eukaryota; Viridiplantae; Streptophyta; Magnoliopsida; Asterales; Asteraceae.
AAGCGGUACCCUUUUCGUCAGAYGUUGCAACUGCAAUGUCGGAUGAACCAUGUAGCAUCCUCUUUGAUCCCUAUAGUCGAUGAGCAUUCGUUGAUUGUUGGGCCCGUUGGGGGUGACUUGGUCUCUUGGAUUUGGAAGCUAAAGUGGGCAUGGGUUCGUAUGAUCCUUUUAUUGCCCUCGUUGAGCGUUCUUGCUUUUCUUAAACGACUGCCUUUCACGUAUGGCAUGUCCUAACGUGUUUGGCUAUGUCGAAGAGGAAUGUUACCUGGUUGAUCCUGCCAGUAGUCAUAUGCUUGUCUCAAAGAUUAA